RNAcentral lists this long non-coding RNA (940 nucleotides) under Chrysemys picta bellii (western painted turtle). RNAcentral's name for it is "lncRNA (ENSCPBG00000025726.1)". The record is from RNAcentral. Lineage: Eukaryota; Metazoa; Chordata; Testudines; Emydidae.
GGGAGGGCCGAGGGAUGAGCAAUGCAUCCUGUCAUGGGAUUGUCCAUCUCGUGGGACGGACAAAGCAGAAGGGUCAGUCACCCUUCUGGAGGGAGACCCGGCUGGUGGCUGAGCUCAGAACCCAGCUCCCAGCCCCAGAGGGACCAGUUCAGCAUGGUGCUACCUCUCCUUCUUCCCGUGCUGGCCUCCCUCCUUCCCCGGCCGGUGUUCCCUGCAGCUAAACACCCAGCCCCAGCCUUCUCCGUGCAUCCCCAGAAGGUUGAAUACCUGCUUGGAGACACCGUGGGCCUCACAUGCUCUGCUCCCCCUGCGAGGGAUCAGGUGUCGGUAUUCCAAUACUACAGCAAUAUGGGAUGGGCUGUUUCAGCCAGGGUGUCCUCCGGGUGGAAACACACCUACAACCUCAACAUCACGGAGCCGCGGAAUGCGGGUUCGUACAGCUGUAACUAUUACACGGGCAAGAGUGGUCGUUUCAUCCAGUCCUAUGAGAGCAACCAUAUCAGCAUCAGCGUCAAAGACCCCCCUCCAGAGCCAACGCUGAGUGUGGAUCCCCCAUCUGGAGUGGUGAGCGAAGGGCACCCCCUGCUCAUCACCUGCACGGCCCCCGGGAAUGCCACACAGCUGAGGUUUCACUUCUACCAGGAUGGAGCCGAGAUUGUCCCUGGGGACGUUGGGUCUGAGAUCAGCACCAUGGAGCCCAGGACCAGCUCAAUGACAGUCUCUGAGCUCAGCAUCCCACAGGUUGACACCAACAGCACCGGGGAAUACACCUGCCGGUAUGAGGAGAAAGAGAGUGGGAGAUGGAUCAUGUCCACCAAGAGCCACGCUGUGACUGUUACCUUGAAAGGUGAGGCUGCCCUAGAGAAUAAAAUCCACCCCUACAUACAAUCACCACUUCCUACAGCAUGGAUACACACACACACACACUCACACACAAAGA